RNAcentral lists this small RNA (266 nucleotides) under Arabidopsis thaliana (thale cress). RNAcentral describes it as "ATSL187890". The record is from RNAcentral. Lineage: Eukaryota; Viridiplantae; Streptophyta; Magnoliopsida; Brassicales; Brassicaceae.
UAAGAAUUGUAGAUUUUGUAGUAUUAUGUAGAUCUGUAAAUUUGGUCAUAUUAAGUAAUCAUCAUCAUUUGUAAAUUAUACUAAUUAAAUUCUCAUAAAGCAAACACCCACUAAGAUUCGGAGACGACGGCACGGUUUCCUUGAAUUCUCGUUAUUACCAGAUUUACCGCAGUGUCACAUUCCCACUUGACAUUAUUUUUUCCUUUUUUAAUAUAAAUACCGUACCUUCACAGUUCAUCCACCUAAUCCGAUCCGCUAAUUAAUCU